Molecule: long non-coding RNA, 258 nt
Organism: Sapajus apella (tufted capuchin)
Lineage: Eukaryota; Metazoa; Chordata; Mammalia; Primates; Cebidae
Exons: 2
Source: RefSeq, a predicted model, not a curated record
GGGGGAGAACAUUUUAAAUGAUUUUCUCCUUUAUGAUGCAUCUCUUUUCUUGGGGUUUCCCGAUAUCUCACCGCCCAGUCCCUUCGAUUCUGGUAACAAACAGCUUCAGAGUCAGGCUUGGCCUGAGUCUUGCUUGACAACCCCCCACCGCCCCGCCUAGGGGUUUGGGGAUGUGAGGAGGUCAAGGAAAUCUGAGCGCCUCCCCCAGCCCCAUAAUGCUGUUAAGAAGUAGGAAAAAUUAAAGCUCCCGGCCAGGCA